AGUCACUGACAUUAGAUACCCCUGUAGUCCAGGGUGUAAACGCUGCAGACUUGGUGUUGGGAACCCUUCGGGGGUGCUCAGUGCCGGAGAGAAGUUGUUGAGUCUGCUACUUGGGGAGUACGUCCGCAAGGAUGAAACUUAAAGGAAUUGGCGGAGGAGCACCGCAACGGGAGGAGCGUGCGGUUUAAUUGGAUUCAACGCCGAAAAACUCACCAGCAGCGACUGUUACAUGAAAGUCAGGUUGAUGACCUUACUAGAUUUUCAG
RNAcentral lists this ribosomal RNA (265 nucleotides) under uncultured archaeon. Its description in RNAcentral is "partial 16S ribosomal RNA". It matches the Rfam family "Archaeal small subunit ribosomal RNA", at positions 718 to 982 of the family's 1478-position model. The record is from RNAcentral.